Molecule: long non-coding RNA, 555 nt
Organism: Malaya genurostris
Lineage: Eukaryota; Metazoa; Arthropoda; Insecta; Diptera; Culicidae
Exons: 3
Source: RefSeq, a predicted model, not a curated record
UACAAACGCUUAUGCUCUGUUAUGUUCAUAUCGAAAAUCCAACGAAACUUAAUACAUUUUAUCCACUUUAUGUCCCGCACUCAUCACACUCGAACUUCUGUAUUUAAGAAAUGAAGAAGAAAGUCGAAAAGUUAUUUUCUCCAAUCUACUGAUCAAACGAUUGACCAUACAGGAGGGAUAUAUGAAAGCGAUUGAGCUAUUUCAUUUCGCCUCCCUUCCGCAAUUGCGUGAGAUGAGAUUGGGUAAUACUCUAUUGCAUGGUGAUAACGGUCCAUACGGCACUAGUCUCGACUCUAUACGGAUUUUAAAACUCGACGCUUACUUCAACGUAACCGUGUUAAAACUCGUUCCCAAUUUGAUCCAGCUUCAUCUUAAAGGUCCCCGUUCGGAGGAAACAAUUCAAGCGGUAAGAAAACUACUACCGCAUUGUGCAAUUAUUUUCAAGAAGAAAUUGCGCAUCGUAGAGAGCAAGCAUUAUCGUAAGGCCUGGUGAAAUGAAUCAUAAAAUUUGGACAUGUUGAACGUGAAAAAUGAAUUACCUGAAGCUAAUUCCGA